GCGAGUGUAGUACAACGGCUAGUAUGCCAGCCUUCCAAGCUGGAAAUGCGGGUUCGAUUCCCGCCACUCGCACCA
Molecule: transfer RNA, 75 nt
Filed under: Candidatus Saccharimonadota bacterium
Lineage: Bacteria; Candidatus Saccharimonadota
Also listed under: 1 other name
Description: tRNA-Gly
Rfam family: tRNA
About the family: Transfer RNA (tRNA) molecules are approximately 80 nucleotides in length. Their secondary structure includes four short double-helical elements and three loops (D, anti-codon, and T loops).
Source: RNAcentral